AACGAACGCUGGCGGCAUGCCUAACACAUGCAAGUCGAACGAGACCUUCGGGUCUAGUGGCGCACGGGUGCGUAACGCGUGGGAACCUGCCCUUAGGUUCGGAAUAACUCCCCGAAAGGGGUGCUAAUACCGGAUAAUGUCUUCGGACCAAAGAUUUAUCGCCUUCGGAUGGGCCCGCGUUGGAUUAGCUAGUUGGUAGGGUAAAAGCCUACCAAGGCGACGAUCCAUAGCUGGUCUGAGAGGAUGAUCAGCCACACUGGGACUGAGACACGGCCCAGACUCCUACGGGAGGCAGCAGUGGGGAAUAUUGGACAAUGGGCGAAAGCCUGAUCCAGCAAUGCCGCGUGAGUGAUGAGGGCCUUAGGGUUGUAAAGCUCUUUUACCCGGGAUGAUAAUGACAGUACCGGGAGAAUAAGCUCCGGCUAACUCCGUG
This 433-nucleotide ribosomal RNA is filed under the name uncultured bacterium. RNAcentral's name for it is "partial 16S ribosomal RNA". It matches the Rfam family "Bacterial small subunit ribosomal RNA", at positions 29 to 507 of the family's 1533-position model. The record is from RNAcentral.